This 253-nucleotide ribosomal RNA is filed under the name uncultured bacterium. RNAcentral describes it as "partial 16S ribosomal RNA". It matches the Rfam family "Bacterial small subunit ribosomal RNA", at positions 524 to 776 of the family's 1533-position model. The record is from RNAcentral.
UACGGAGGGUGCAAGCGUUAAUCGGAAUUACUGGGCGUAAAGAGUGUGUAGGCGGUGCUCUAAGUUUGGUGUGAAAUCUCCCGGCUCAACUGGGAGGGUGCGCCGAAAACUGGAAUGCUUGAACAUGGGAGAGGAAAGCGGAAUUCCUGGUGUAGCGGUGAAAUGCGUAGAUAUCAGGAGGAACACCUGCGGUGUAGACGGCUUUCUGGACCAUUGUUGACGCUGAGACACGAAAGCGUGGGUAGCAAACAGG